RNAcentral lists this ribosomal RNA (253 nucleotides) under uncultured bacterium. Its description in RNAcentral is "partial 16S ribosomal RNA". It matches the Rfam family "Bacterial small subunit ribosomal RNA", at positions 524 to 776 of the family's 1533-position model. The record is from RNAcentral.
UACGAAGGGUGCAAUCGUUAUUCGGAAUCACUGGGCGUAAAGGGUGCGUAGACGGUAUGUUAAGUUCGUCGUUAAAGACUCCGGCCUAACCGGAGCACCGCGAUGAAAACUGGCAAACUAGAGGGUGAGAGAGAGAAGUGGAAUUCCUGGAGUAGCGGUAAAAUGCGUGGAUCUCAGGAGGAACACCAAUGGCGAAGGCAGCUUCUUGGCUCAUUCCUGACGUUGAGGCACGAAAGCGUGGGGAGCAAACAGG